This 199-nucleotide unclassified non-coding RNA is filed under the name uncultured fungus. RNAcentral describes it as "sequence contains ITS1". The record is from RNAcentral. Lineage: Eukaryota; Fungi.
GUCUUUUGUUUGUAUUAUGGGGUAUGUUAAGAAAAAAAGGGAGAAAUGGGGGUUGUGUUUUUUGGGGUAAAAAAAGGGUAGGGCACCUUUGACGCCAACGAAUCGGCCGAAAAAGACGCCCUACCGGGUGCAACUAGGGGGUGUAAUAAAAGGACAGUGGUGUUCACUGAUGAUCCUUCCGCAGGUUCACCUACGGAAA